Molecule: ribosomal RNA, 254 nt
Filed under: uncultured bacterium
Lineage: Bacteria
Description: partial 16S ribosomal RNA
Rfam family: Bacterial small subunit ribosomal RNA
Source: RNAcentral
ANAUUUCGAGGAACNCUGGCAGCGUGUNUAACACAUGCNANUCNAACGAUGAAGUAUUCUUCGGAAUACGGAAGNGUGGCGAACGGGUGAGGNACACGUAAGGAAUCUGCCCCUCGGUCGGCGACAACUCUUGNNAACGAGUAGCUAAUACCCGAUACGCUGUGGAGUGAAAGAAUUUCGCCGAGGGAUGAUCUUGCGUCUGAUUAGCUGGUUGGUGUGGUAAUGGCNCACCCANGUUUUUUUUUCAGACCUUG